Molecule: ribosomal RNA, 425 nt
Filed under: uncultured bacterium
Lineage: Bacteria
Description: partial 16S ribosomal RNA
Rfam family: Bacterial small subunit ribosomal RNA
Source: RNAcentral
GUGGGGAAUCUUGCGCAAUGGGCGAAAGCCUGACGCAGCCAUGCCGCGUGAAUGAUGAAGGUCUUAGGAUUGUAAAAUUCUUUCACCGGGGACGAUAAUGACGGUACCCGGAGAAGAAGCUCCGGCUAACUUCGUGCCAGCAGCCGCGGUAAUACGAAGGGGGCUAGCGUUGCUCGGAAUUACUGGGCGUAAAGGGCGCGUAGGCGGACAGCUUAGUCAGAGGUGAAAGCCCAGGGCUCAACCUUGGAAUUGCCUUUGAUACUGGCUGUCUUGAGUUUGGGAGAGGUGAGUGGAACUCCGAGUGUAGAGGUGAAAUUCGUAGAUAUAGGAAGGAACACCAGUGGCGAAGGCGACUACCUGGACUGAUACUGACACUGAGGUGCGAAAGCGUGGGGAGCAAACAGGAUUAGAUACCCCAGUAGUCC